This 73-nucleotide transfer RNA is filed under the name Bos taurus (domestic cattle). It matches the Rfam family "tRNA". From Rfam's summary of the family: Transfer RNA (tRNA) molecules are approximately 80 nucleotides in length. Their secondary structure includes four short double-helical elements and three loops (D, anti-codon, and T loops). Further hydrogen bonds mediate the characteristic L-shaped molecular structure. tRNAs have two regions of fundamental functional importance: the anti-codon, which is responsible for specific mRNA codon recognition, and the 3' end, to which the tRNAs corresponding amino acid is attached (by aminoacyl-tRNA synthetases). tRNAs cope with the degeneracy of the genetic code in two manners: having more than one tRNA (with a specific anti-codon) for a particular amino acid; and 'wobble' base-pairing, i.e. permitting non-standard base-pairing at the 3rd anti-codon position. RNAcentral also lists the same sequence under 1 other name. Lineage: Eukaryota; Metazoa; Chordata; Mammalia; Artiodactyla; Bovidae. The record is from Rfam by way of RNAcentral.
UCCAUGGUGGUGCAGUGGCAAGGACUCUGGGCUCCCAAUGCAGGGGGCCCGGGUUCAAUCCCCGGUCAAGGAA